UUACCCACUUAAUGUGCUUA
Molecule: microRNA, 20 nt
Filed under: Tribolium castaneum (red flour beetle)
Lineage: Eukaryota; Metazoa; Arthropoda; Insecta; Coleoptera; Tenebrionidae
Description: tca-miR-3848-3p
Source: miRBase by way of RNAcentral